Molecule: ribosomal RNA, 711 nt
Filed under: Pseudomonas mucidolens
Lineage: Bacteria; Pseudomonadati; Pseudomonadota; Gammaproteobacteria; Pseudomonadales; Pseudomonadaceae
Description: bacterial SSU rRNA
Rfam family: Bacterial small subunit ribosomal RNA
Source: RNAcentral
UCAUGGCUCAGAUUGAACGCUGGCGGCAGGCCUAACACAUGCAAGUCGAGCGGUAGAGAGAAGCUUGCUUCUCUUGAGAGCGGCGGACGGGUGAGUAAUGCCUAGGAAUCUGCCUGGUAGUGGGGGAUAACGUUCGGAAACGGACGCUAAUACCGCAUACGUCCUACGGGAGAAAGCAGGGGACCUUCGGGCCUUGCGCUAUCAGAUGAGCCUAGGUCGGAUUAGCUAGUUGGUGGGGUAAUGGCUCACCAAGGCGACGAUCCGUAACUGGUCUGAGAGGAUGAUCAGUCACACUGGAACUGAGACACGGUCCAGACUCCUACGGGAGGCAGCAGUGGGGAAUAUUGGACAAUGGGCGAAAGCCUGAUCCAGCCAUGCCGCGUGUGUGAAGAAGGUCUUCGGAUUGUAAAGCACUUUAAGUUGGGAGGAAGGGUUGUAGAUUAAUACUCUGCAAUUUUGACGUUACCGACAGAAUAAGCACCGGCUAACUCUGUGCCAGCAGCCGCGGUAAUACAGAGGGUGCAAGCGUUAAUCGGAAUUACUGGGCGUAAAGCGCGCGUAGGUGGUUUGUUAAGUUGGAUGUGAAAUCCCCGGGCUCAACCUGGGAACUGCAUUCAAAACUGACUGACUAGAGUAUGGUAGAGGGUGGUGGAAUUUCCUGUGUAGCGGUGAAAUGCGUAGAUAUAGGAAGGAACACCAGUGGCGAAGGCG